This 73-nucleotide transfer RNA is filed under the name Candidatus Magasanikiibacteriota bacterium. RNAcentral describes it as "Candidatus Magasanikbacteria bacterium tRNA-Thr". It matches the Rfam family "tRNA". Rfam says of the family: Transfer RNA (tRNA) molecules are approximately 80 nucleotides in length. Their secondary structure includes four short double-helical elements and three loops (D, anti-codon, and T loops). Further hydrogen bonds mediate the characteristic L-shaped molecular structure. tRNAs have two regions of fundamental functional importance: the anti-codon, which is responsible for specific mRNA codon recognition, and the 3' end, to which the tRNAs corresponding amino acid is attached (by aminoacyl-tRNA synthetases). tRNAs cope with the degeneracy of the genetic code in two manners: having more than one tRNA (with a specific anti-codon) for a particular amino acid; and 'wobble' base-pairing, i.e. permitting non-standard base-pairing at the 3rd anti-codon position. The record is from RNAcentral. Lineage: Bacteria; Candidatus Magasanikiibacteriota.
GCCAUCUUAGCUCAGUUGGUAGAGCAACGGUUUUGUAAACCGUAGGUCGCGAGUUCGAGCCUCGCAGAUGGCU